GAUCCUGGCUCAGGAUGAACGCUGGCGGCGUGCCUAACACAUGCAAGUCGAGCGGAGUUAUAUGUUGAUCUCGGAUGAUUAUAUGACUUAGCGGCGGAUGGGUGAGUAACACGUGGGUAAUCUGCCCUGCACUGGGGGAUAACAGUUGGAAACGACUGUUAAUACCGCAUAUGCACACGUGGCCGCAUGGCCGCGGGUGGAAAGAUUCAUCGGUGCAGGAUGAGCCCGCGUCGGAUUAACUAGUUGGCAGGGUAACGGCCUACCAAGGUGAUGAUCCGUAGCCGGCCUGAGGGGGCGACUGGCCACAUUGGGACUGAGACACGGCCCAAACUCCUACGGGAGGCAGCAGUGGGGAAUAUUGCACAAUGGGCUCAAAGCCUGAUGCAGCGACGCCGCGUGAAGGAAGAAGUAUUUCGGUAUGUAAACUUCUAUCAGCGGGGAAGAAGAUGACGGUACCCGACUAAGAAGCCCCGGCUAACUACGUGCCAGCCGCCGC
RNAcentral lists this ribosomal RNA (496 nucleotides) under uncultured bacterium. RNAcentral describes it as "bacterial SSU rRNA". It matches the Rfam family "Bacterial small subunit ribosomal RNA", at positions 15 to 518 of the family's 1533-position model. The record is from RNAcentral.